UUUGUUAAUUUCAUUUUCCCCAAACAAAAAUAUCAAAAUGUCCAACGUUUAUUUUCAACCUAAAAAAAUAGCAACAAAACAAAACCUUAAUUUGUUAAUAAUAUCCAUAAUAUCAUUAUAACUGUUUUAUUCAAUUUAAACUAACGAUGUCGUUUAAGCCGGGCUCCAUCGUAAAAAUCCAGGUAGAAAAUUUUGUGACUUACAGCUAUGUGGAAAUGUAUCCUGGUCCAAAUUUGAAUAUGAUAAUUGGACCCAAUGGAACUGGGAAGUCGACAAUGGUGGCUGCUAUCAUACUAGGGCUUGGUGGAAACCCAAAAACAGUUGGGAGAGGCACCAGAGUCUCAGAGUAUGUAAAACAUGAAUGUGAUCAUGCAAAAAUAAAUAUAUUUCUUCAAGGUCACCAGCAAAAUUCUUUUAUUAAAAUAACUCGGGAGUUUAACACUCAAGAGAAGUCAAAUUGGAAAUUAAACAACAAAAGCUGCAGAUUUGCAGAAGUUGAAGAAUGCAUUCAACAGUUUAAUAUACAGGUGGACAAUUUAUGCCAGUUUUUGCCCCAAGAUCGUGUAGCAGACUUUGCCAAACUAAACAAGCAAGAUUUAUUAAGAGAAACUAUGAGAGCACUUUGUCGACAUGACCUUAUCGAAAAGCAGGAUGCCCUUAUUGAAGCAAGAGAACAACACAAAAAUUUAACCCAGCAGGCUGGAAAACAUGGGCAAACUUUGCAGGAGGCUCAAAAUGAUGUUUUAAGAUUGGAAGGACGAGUUAAGAAUUUUAAUAAAGUAUUAAAAUAUAAAGAACGAAUUACUGAUAUUGAUCGAAAAAUUGCAUGGAGUGAAUAUGAAGAAAAGAGGCUGAAGCUAAGUGAGAUUAAGGCAGACAAGUUGCAAGCACAGCAAAUUGUUGACAAACACAAAAGUGAAAUAAAACCUAUAGAACAACAUAUUAACCUGCAUAAAGAGACAUUAAAUGGUAUACAGCGGAGCAAUUCAGAAGUAGUGCAAAGCAUACGGAAGCAAGAAGAGCACAUAAACACGACUACAGAAAAAAUAGAAUCCCUUAGCGAUAAAGUGCGCAAAAUCGAGGAUGAAAUGCAAUUAAAGCUGGAGGAAAAUAACCAGUGGGACAAACAAAUCGAAGAAGUGGUGGCUAAACUUGAAGAUAUGAAAAAAGCCCACCAUAGUUUAUCCGCGAAGAUGAAUCAAGGUGUCGAGAAAAAAGCAGCAAUUUUGACUGAAGUGUCGAACGAUACAAAUCGUAUAAGGCAGCUGCAAGACCAAAAGGAACAGAUUGAACAAGUGGUGAGCGAAAAUAACGCGGAAAUUCGGGCAUUACGAAACGAACAAGAAAGGAUUGAAAAUAUUAAAGAGCAGAGAUUUGAAAAGUUGAGAAGAACUAAUAAUGAUGCAUAUACGGCAGUUCAUUGGUUACGGAAUAACGGUCAUCUUUUUAAAGGUGAAAUUUUUGAACCAAUAAUGUUAGAAUUAAACGUACUAGAUAAUAGUAAGGCUAAAUAUGUAGAAUCCCUAAUUCCCAUGAGAGAUAGGCUAGCAUUUACAUGCACAGAUAAAGGGGACAUGAAUUUGUUAAUUCAGUCUCUAAGACACCAUCAAAAGUUAUCUAUUAAUGUGGUAUAUGCAGGCCCUCCAAACGAAAAAUACAACCAACCGAAUGUACCUAUAGAGAGAUUGAGAAAAUAUGGUUUUUACACUUACGUGAGCGCCCUAAUUUCUGCUCCUGUUCCUAUUAUGAGAUAUUUGUGUCGGACUUAUAAGUUACAUAAUAUUCCUGUGGGGGAUAAAACUACGAAUAACUGCUACGAAAGCGUCCCGCAAGAGAUCAGUGUGUUUUUUAGUGAUACUUUUAGAUAUGCUAUUAUGCGCUCUAAAUAUUCAAACCAAACGAGUACUCGUCAAAACGAAGUAACCGGUGAUGGUGGGUUGUCUUUGUCAUUAGAUGUUAUAAGGCUGGAAAAUGUGAAAGGCAGGUGUAAUGAUAUGAAAAGGAAACUUGAAGGUUUGCAGACUCAGAUAGAAAAUUAUAAUGUGCAAAUAAGUAAAUUAGAAGAGAAAAUUAAGGCGAAUAAAGAAAAGGUGUUAGAAAUGCAGAAGCAAAAGCAACACAUUGAUGCUCUAAAAAAUAAAAUUGCUUCGAGUCAGCACAAUCUAACACAAAUGCGGGAUAACAAAAAAAGUCCCGAAGAAAUUAGACGAGAGGCACGCGUAAAAAUGAAAAAACUAGUUCAAACCAUGGGGCUUUUACAGGAAACCUUAAAAAACUAUUUUAAGGAGCUAGAAAGUUUGAUAACUACGGCUAACUUAAACUCGAGUAAAAUCGAGAUUUUACGACAAAAAAUUGAAUAUAUGGAGAACCAAAUCGUUGACUCAAAGAGGUUGAUUCAUGAAGCUCAAGAAACGCUCUCUUUGGUAACAGACCGAUACAAUGCUGCGAUACAAGAAGCCAAAAACCAGCUUCAGAAGGCAAAGUCGCUAUCGGGCGGUUUUACACCGGCUGACCAACAAUUUGAUCAGUAUAGAGAAGCGUAUGAGAGACUUGGAAAUAACUUGGAAGAAUUGGUAGCGGAAAAGGAAAAUUUGAUUUCACGAAUUGAUUGUUUAAAUACAGCCGACGAUCAGGAGAUUCAGGAAUAUGAAGAUAGGGUGAAUCUUAUUGAAAAACUGACUUCAAAUAUAGAAGGACUUAAUGUGCAGAUUAAUAAACUUAGUGUUAAGAUGGAUAGGAUGCAAGUGGAAUGGUUAACUCCACUGAACGAUUUAGUAGCUGGAAUUAAUUUGAGGUUUGGCAGUGCAUUUGAGCGAAUGGGUUGCGCAGGCGAAGUUACCAUUUGUCCAGGAGAUAACGACAAAAACUACGCUGAUUAUUCUUUAUCGAUUAAGGUAACAUAUAGAAAUGGAGAACCGCUCCAAGAAUUAAACUCUACAAUUCAGAGUGGUGGUGAACGAGCAGUGGCAACCGCCGCUUUUAUGCUGGCGUUACAAGAAUUAACUCCAGUUCCUUUUAGAUGUGUGGAUGAAAUUAAUCAAGGUAUGGAUGCUAACAACGAAAGACGCAUUUUCGAAUUAAUAGUGGAAACGACAAGUCAACCGGAAACAUCCCAGUAUUUCUUAAUUACACCGAAACUUGUGCCCAAUUUAAAUUAUUCCAGACAACUUCUCGUUCACAUCGUACACAAUGGGCCGAUGAUUAAUGCAGAUCAGAAAUGGUCUGCUUCUAAAUUUUGUAAUCCCAACCGGUUACAAGUUCAAUGAAUGUUUGGCGGUAAACAAAUUUAGUGCCUGGAAAAUGACUUGUACCUGAUUAUAAAAUGCACUUAUUUGUUUUCUGUGAAUAUAUUUGGAAUAUGUAAACAAUAGAUGCGAUGCAAAACAUGUUCCAAUCACAUGCUUGGAAUUUGAUGUCUCGCAGCGGCGCAGGCUCCUUAUAUACUAACUACUACAGAUCAUGCUUCCGGAAGAUUCGCUAACCUUCUACGCCUUUCCAGAGAUGUGCGGUUACCCAAUAACACAGAAU
This 3528-nucleotide unclassified non-coding RNA is filed under the name Anthonomus grandis grandis. RNAcentral's name for it is "structural maintenance of chromosomes protein 5". The record is from RNAcentral. Lineage: Eukaryota; Metazoa; Arthropoda; Insecta; Coleoptera; Curculionidae.